CUUAUACAUGCAAGUCGAACGAAGUAGCAAUACUUAGUGGCAGACGGGUGAGUAACAUGUAGGUAUCUUCCCUUUGGUGAGGAAUAACACGAGGAAACUUGUGCUAAUACCUCAUAAGUCUUUACAGAGAAAGCUUUAUGCGCCGAAGGAUGAGCCUGCACUUGAUUAGUUUGUUGGUGGGGUAAUGGCCUACCAAGACUUUGAUCUAUAGCUGAUCUGAGAGGAUGAUCAGCCACAUUGGGACUGAGACACGGCCCAAACUCCUACGGGAGGCAGCAGUAGGGAAUAUUGCACAAUGGAGGAAACUCUGAUGCAGCGAUGCCGCGUGAGUGAAGAAGGCCUUUGGGUUGUAAAGCUCUUUCGUCGGGGAAGAAAAUGACUGUACCCGAAUAAGAAGGUCCGGCUAACUUCGUGCCAGCAGCCGCGGUAAUACGAAGGGACCUAGCGUAGUUCGGAAUUACUGGGCUUAAAGAGUUCGUAGGUGGUUAAAAAAGUUGGUGGUGAAAUCCCAGAGCUUAACUCUGGAACUGCCAUCAAAACUUUUUAGCUAGAGUAUGAUAGAGGAAAGCAGAAUUUCUAGUGUAGAGGUGAAAUUCGUAGAUAUUAGAAAGAAUACCAAUUGCGAAGGCAGCUUUCUGGAUCAUUACUGACGCUGAGGAACGAAAGCAUGGGUAGCGAAGAGGAUUAGAUACCCUGGUAGUCCACGCCGUAAACGAUGAGUGCUAGACGUUGGAAAUUAACUUUUCAGUGUCGUAGUUAACGCAUUAAGCACUCCGCCUGGGGAGUACGGUCGCAAGAUUAAAACUCAAAGGAAUUGACGGGGGCCCGCACAAGCGGUGGAGCAUGUGUUUAAUUCGACGCAACGCGAAGAACCUUACCAGCUCUUGACAUUGCUAAGUCGCGAGUUUUAGAGAUAAAACUCUUCAGUUCGGCUGACUUAGUACAGUGCUGCAUGCUGUCGUCAGCUCGGUGUCGUGAGAUGUGGGUAGUCCCGCACGAGCGCACCCUUGUCUAGUGCAGCAAUUCGUGCACUCUAGGAGACUGCGUGAUACGAAGAAGCGGAUGACGUCAGUCUCAUGCUACGCUGCUACCACGUGCUACAUGGCGUCUACAUGGUCA
Molecule: ribosomal RNA, 1119 nt
Filed under: uncultured bacterium
Lineage: Bacteria
Description: bacterial SSU rRNA
Rfam family: Bacterial small subunit ribosomal RNA
Source: RNAcentral